Molecule: ribosomal RNA, 492 nt
Filed under: uncultured bacterium
Lineage: Bacteria
Description: partial 16S ribosomal RNA
Rfam family: Bacterial small subunit ribosomal RNA
Source: RNAcentral
AGUGAACGCUGGCGGUAGGCCUAACACGUGCAAGUCGAACGGCAGCACAGUAAGAGCUUGCUCUUACGGGUGGCGAGUGGCGGACGGGUGAGGAAUACAUCGGAAUCUACUUUUUCGUGGGGGAUAACGUAGGGAAACUUACGCUAAUACCGCAUACGACCUACGGGUGAAAGCAGGGGAUGUUCGGACCUUGCGCGAUUGAAUGAGCCGAUGACGGAUUAGUGAGUGGGCGGGGCAAAGGCCCACCAAGGCGACGAUCCGUAGCUAGGCUGAGAGGAUGAGCAACCAAACUGAAGCUAGAACAGGGCCAAGACUCCUACGGGAGGCAGCAGUGGGGAAUAUUGGACAAUGGGGGCAAGCCUGAUCCAACCAUACCGCGUGGGUGAAGAAGGCCUUAGGAUUGUAAAGCCCUUUUGUUGAGAAAGAAAAGCAGCAGGUCAAUACCCCGCUGUUCUGACGGUACCCAAAGAAUAAGCACCGGCUAACUUCGUG